GAAAUGCGAUACGUAAUGCGAAUUGCAGAAUUCAGUGAAUCAUCAAAUCUUUGAACGCAUAUUGCGCUCUUGGGAUAGGCCCGGGAGCACGUUUCUUUGAGUAUCGAUAACACCACUCACACCAGCUGUGCUGGACUGUGGAUAUUGAGUGUCACAGUGUCGGGAAACCCGCUGCGUCACUUUAAGUCUGCCGCGCAGUGUUUCCGUAUCCCACUUGCGUACCUUUGUUCACAAAGGCAAGGUUCGUGAGUUGCGGACGUGGGUAAAAUACUAACGUUCCGAUAUCACUCAUGAGCUGAGCGAGACCGGGAAGGGGAAGCGCGCCAAAGGAAUACAUUUUUGUAACCUCUUGAAUUCGAUCUCAAAUGAAGCGAGAUUACCCGCUGAACUUAA
RNAcentral lists this unclassified non-coding RNA (393 nucleotides) under uncultured fungus. Its description in RNAcentral is "sequence contains ITS1". The stretch from base 1 to 106 matches the Rfam family "5.8S ribosomal RNA", at positions 50 to 154 of the family's 154-position model. The record is from RNAcentral. Lineage: Eukaryota; Fungi.